RNAcentral lists this ribosomal RNA (876 nucleotides) under uncultured Nitrososphaerota archaeon. RNAcentral's name for it is "bacterial SSU rRNA". It matches the Rfam family "Archaeal small subunit ribosomal RNA", at positions 1 to 884 of the family's 1478-position model. Lineage: Archaea; Thermoproteati; Nitrososphaerota. The record is from RNAcentral.
UUCCGGUUGAUCCUGCCGGACCUGACUGCUAUCGGAUUGAUACUAAGCCAUGCGUGUCAUUGUAGCAAUACAAGGCAUACGGCUCAGUAACGCGUAGUCAACCUACCCUAUGGACGGAAAUAACCUCGGGAAACUGAGAAUAAUAUCCGAUAGAACAUUAUGCCUGGAAUGGUUUAUGUUCCAAAUGAUUUAUCGCCGUAGGAUGGGACUGCGGCCUAUCAGUUUGUUGGUGAGGUAAUGGCCCACCAGGACUAUUACAGGUACGGGCUCUGAGAGGAGUAGCCCGGAGAUGGGUACUGAGACACGGACCUAGGCCCUAUGGGGCGCAGCAGGCGAGAAAACUUUGCAAUGUGCGAAAGCACGACAAGGUUAAUCCGAGUGAUUUCUGCUAAAGAAAUCUUUUGUUAGUCCUAGAAACACUAACGAAUAAGGGGUGGGCAAGUUCUGGUGUCAGCCGCCGCGGUAAAACCAGCACCUCAAGUGGUCAGGAUGAUUAUUGGGCCUAAAGCAUCCGUAGCCGGCUCUGUAAGUCCUCGGUUAAAUCUGUACGCUUAACGUACAGGCUGCCGGGAAUACUGCAUAGCUAGGGAGUGGGAGAGGUAGACGGUACUCGGUAGGAAGGGGUAAAAUCCUUUGAUCUAUUGAUGACCACCUGUGGCGAGGGCGGUCUACCAGAACACGUCCGACGGUGAGGGAUGAAAGCUGGGGGAGCAAACCGGAUUAGAUACCCGGGUAGUCCCAGCUGUAAACUAUGCAAACUCAGUGAUGCAUUGGCUUGUGGCCAAUGCAGUGCUGCAGGGAAGCCGUUAAGUUUGCCGCCUGGGAAGUACGUACGCAAGUAUGAAACUUAAAGGAAUUGGCGGGGGAGCACCACAA